RNAcentral lists this ribosomal RNA (1137 nucleotides) under Salmonella enterica. Its description in RNAcentral is "bacterial SSU rRNA". It matches the Rfam family "Bacterial small subunit ribosomal RNA", at positions 1 to 1129 of the family's 1533-position model. RNAcentral also lists the same sequence under 1 other name. The record is from RNAcentral. Lineage: Bacteria; Pseudomonadati; Pseudomonadota; Gammaproteobacteria; Enterobacterales; Enterobacteriaceae.
AAAUUGAAGAGUUUGAUCAUGGCUCAGAUUGAACGCUGGCGGCAGGCCUAACACAUGCAAGUCGAACGGUAGCACAGAGAGCUUGCUCUCGGGUGACGAGUGGCGGACGGGUGAGUAAUGUCUGGGAAACUGCCCGAUGGAGGGGGAUAACUACUGGAAACGGUAGCUAAUACCGCAUAAUGUCGCAAGACCAAAGUGGGGGACCUUCGGGCCUCACACCAUCGGAUGUGCCCAGAUGGGAUUAGCUUGUUGGUGGGGUAACGGCUCACCAAGGCGACGAUCCCUAGCUGGUCUGAGAGGAUGACCAGCCACACUGGAACUGAGACACGGUCCAGACUCCUACGGGAGGCAGCAGUGGGGAAUAUUGCACAAUGGGCGCAAGCCUGAUGCAGCCAUGCCGCGUGUAUGAAGAAGGCCUUCGGGUUGUAAAGUACUUUCAGCGGGGAGGAAGGCGUUGUGGUUAAUAACUGCAGCGAUUGACGUUACCCGCAGAAGAAGCACCGGCUAACUCCGUGCCAGCAGCCGCGGUAAUACGGAGGGUGCAAGCGUUAAUCGGAAUUACUGGGCGUAAAGCGCACGCAGGCGGUUUGUUAAGUCAGAUGUGAAAUCCCCGGGCUCAACCUGGGAACUGCAUUUGAAACUGGCAAGCUUGAGUCUCGUAGAGGGGGGUAGAAUUCCAGGUGUAGCGGUGAAAUGCGUAGAGAUCUGGAGGAAUACCGGUGGCGAAGGCGGCCCCCUGGACGAAGACUGACGCUCAGGUGCGAAAGCGUGGGGAGCAAACAGGAUUAGAUACCCUGGUAGUCCACGCCGUAAACGAUGUCUAUUUGGAGGUUGUGCCCUUGAGGCGUGGCUUCCGGAGCUAACGCGUUAAAUAGACCGCCUGGGGAGUACGGCCGCAAGGUUAAAACUCAAAUGAAUUGACGGGGGCCCGCACAAGCGGUGGAGCAUGUGGUUUAAUUCGAUGCAACGCGAAGAACCUUACCUGGUCUUGACAUCCACGGAAUUUGGCAGAGAUGCCUUAGUGCCUUCGGGAACCGUGAGACAGGUGCUGCAUGGCUGUCGUCAGCUCGUGUUGUGAAAUGUUGGGUUAAGUCCCGCAACGAGCGCAACCCUUAUCCUUUGUUGCCAGCGAUUAGG